GUCUUUUACAUGCAUCGUUGGAUUGCAGUCUCAAGCCUGGGAUUCCAACGGAAUUAACGUCCAUUGAAAACUUACUGUGCUCAAGGCACAGAACGGGGUAGUUUUAUACACAUUCUCCCAUUUGGAUUUUUCAAAGACAACAUCUAAUCAUCCCCAGAGAAAUUUCAGCUGAGAAGACAGGAUGAUGAAGUGCCCUGGGGGCCAGAGUCCAGACAAGUAUUUUGGCACCUCCAAGGACUCGCAGAACACAGAGAGGAAAAGAGAGACCCUGUUAUCUUUCCGCAGGGGUGGCCGUUCAAACUCUCAGAGAUGGAAGUUAAGAUUUCCUUUGGUAUAAGUGGCAGUUUGACUGGCUGCAAGGAGAGCCUCAGUUUGUUUAAUUUGGAGUAAAAUUUUAUGAGUUAAUCUCUAGUGAGGGAAAGCAGCAGUAAACACAGAACAUACUGGUCAUUAUUCUAAGUAUUUCUACAUUCUUUCUCAUGCAUGAAAGGAGAAAAAAAGUCACAAAAAUGAGGAGGCAUGGUG
Molecule: long non-coding RNA, 525 nt
Filed under: Homo sapiens (human)
Lineage: Eukaryota; Metazoa; Chordata; Mammalia; Primates; Hominidae
Description: HSALNT0120125
Source: RNAcentral